Molecule: ribosomal RNA, 303 nt
Filed under: uncultured bacterium
Lineage: Bacteria
Description: partial 16S ribosomal RNA
Rfam family: Bacterial small subunit ribosomal RNA
Source: RNAcentral
AGCAGUCGCCGCGGUAACACGGAGGGGGCUAGCGUUGUUCGGAAUUACUGGGCGUAAAGCGCACGUAGGCGGCUUGGUAAGUUAGAGGUGAAAGCCCGGAGCUCAACUCCGGAAUUGCCUUUAAGACUGCCGAGCUAGUAGGUGAGAGAGGUAAGUGGAAUUCCGAGUGUAGAGGUGAAAUUCGUAGAUAUUCGGAAGAACACCAGUGGCGAAGGCGGCUUACUGGCUCAUUCUAGACGCUGAGGUGCGAAAGCGUGGGGAGCAAACAGGAUUAGAGACCCCAGUAGUCCCUGUCUCUUAUAC